This 107-nucleotide small nuclear RNA is filed under the name Balaenoptera musculus (blue whale). The record is from RNAcentral. Lineage: Eukaryota; Metazoa; Chordata; Mammalia; Artiodactyla; Balaenopteridae.
GUGCUCACUUCGGCAGCACAUAUACUAAAAUUGGAACAAUACAGAGAAGAUUAGCAGGGCCCCUGCAUGAGGAUGAUGCACAAAUUCGUGAAGCAUUCCAUAGUUUU